Long non-coding RNA from Helianthus annuus (common sunflower), 1534 nucleotides. RefSeq lists it as uncharacterized. Lineage: Eukaryota; Viridiplantae; Streptophyta; Magnoliopsida; Asterales; Asteraceae. The record is from RefSeq and is a predicted model, not a curated record. The transcript is spliced from 4 exons.
GAGAGAAAGAUGAAAGAGAUAGGGCGGUGCUGGGUUGUUCAAAAACACAGAUAUAUAGGGAAAGAGAGAGAAACGGGAGAGACACGUGAGAGAAAGAUGAAAGAGUUGAGAGAGUGACGGUUGGCGGCCAUUUUCUCCGGCCGACCGUCUAGCAGAGAGAGAGAGAGAGCGUUAGAGAGAGAAAGAGAAACGGUGGUGGUUACCAGGCGUCUGAGAUGACGGCGGCGGGUUCUAGAGUCCCGAUCUGUCAAGUUAUCGCCGGUUGUGGCUUCUCCAAGGCGGUCAGUGGGUUAAUUGGGAUAAUCCGGUGGAGAUGCCGGCUAAGUCGUGCUCCUCGCGGUUGUUAGAUCGGGCCAUAAGACUACGGGAUAGGGAAAUCUUUCGGCGGUGACCCGUUACAUGCGGCGGUUCAGUGAGAGAGUGACGGUGAGGGAGUUGGCCACCCACGGCGGCCACAUGCUAUUUCAAGUGCAUGUCAAUGAUGGGUGAGAUUAAAUCAAAGGUAUCUUGGUAUAAGAGAGGUUGUCUAGAUCAAUUCUGGAUGAUGUUGAGGUUUUUGGGGAAAUUUCAGGCGGUAGCAGUAGCUAGCUGCUAGCGAUGAAACGGUUCACCCGUCAUGAAGCAGCGAGGGUACUAAGGAAGAGGUGUGUCUGAACCACGUGUUGGGAUUGUUCGGAUCCAGUUGGACUUUUGUGCCCCUGUUGUUGUGAAUCUGCGGUUCAAUCCCCAAAGUUAAAUUAUUAGAAGUGUUUUGUGGUAUGCAAGCUUUGGAUUUUACAUUAGAUGAACAACAACAUAGCCUAUCUGAACGGGCCAAACAAUGCAUCAAAGAAGGUAAUAUAAAUGUAUUCUUAAUUUUUCAAAGGAUCGACCAUAAUGACUAAGGUUCCGGCUAGGCUUGAGUUUGUGUUAGGUUGGUGAUUUCAGAGUGUGCGGAGCGCUACUAACCGGAAAUGUGUUGGAAAAUCAAUGUAUAUUGAGAAAGCAAGGUUAUUGUUUUUGAACAAUGAUGCAAAGCGUAUGAGUCCUUAUAUUAAAAAACUUGGGCAAAGCAUUGGCAACAAAAAUAAAAGCUUCAUUGGCAGAGGUAUGUAGUGCUCAACACGUGGACUAAUGAUACCAAAGUUGAAGACGUGAACGUUUUCUGAGCCGAAGACCGCCACAAAGAAUUUCGGUCAGUAAUCGUUACCUAGAGAGGGUGGUUACCGGACUGUUUUUGUAGGCUGGUUAGAUAUUGUUACAUUUCCCCACUGAAGGCUGGUGAUGGGAUUGCAGUGGCCUUCGAGAAAACAAAUCCCAGUGGGUAUAGGGUCUCAAUGAGUGGCAUGUUACUCUUUUAUUGGUGUAUGAGAAUUAUCAUUAUAUGAUUAUAUUUGUUUUUGAAGAUAAAUGUAUGAAAUUAGCAAAGUUAGAUUGUUAUUUUGGGUGUUUGGUGACAAUCACCAAAGCAUUCUGUUGGUAACUAACGUGUAUUUAUACCUAACAAGGUUUAUAGAUGAUUCGCGUUUAGCGCGCCGCAACGCGCGCGGGUUUU